This 87-nucleotide transfer RNA is filed under the name Pseudomonas aeruginosa. RNAcentral describes it as "tRNA-Leu". It matches the Rfam family "tRNA". From Rfam's summary of the family: Transfer RNA (tRNA) molecules are approximately 80 nucleotides in length. The record is from RNAcentral. Lineage: Bacteria; Pseudomonadati; Pseudomonadota; Gammaproteobacteria; Pseudomonadales; Pseudomonadaceae.
GCCUGGAUGGCGAAAUCGGUAGACGCAAGGGACUUAAAAUCCCUCGGGGGUAACCCCGUGCCGGUUCGACCCCGGCUCCGGGCACCA